UACGUAGGGACCAAGCGUUGUCCGGAAUUAUUGGGCGUAAAGAGCUCGUAGGCGGUCUGUUGCGUCCGCUGUGAAAACUCGGGGCUUAACCCCGAGCCUGCAGUGGAUACGGGCAGACUAGAGGUAGGUAGGGGAGAAUGGAAUUCCCGGUGUAGCGGUGAAAUGCGCAGAUAUCGGGAGGAACACCGGUGGCGAAGGCGGUUCUCUGGGCCUUACCUGACGCUGAGGAGCGAAAGCGUGGGGAGCGAACAGG
Molecule: ribosomal RNA, 253 nt
Filed under: uncultured bacterium
Lineage: Bacteria
Description: partial 16S ribosomal RNA
Rfam family: Bacterial small subunit ribosomal RNA
Source: RNAcentral